UACGUAGGGCGCAAGCGUUAUCCGGAAUUAUUGGGCGUAAAGAGCUUGUAGGUGGUUUGUCGCGUUGUUCGUGAAAUCUCACGGCUUAACUGUGAGCGUGCGGGCGAUACGGGCAGACUAGAGUACUGCAGGGGAGACUGGAAUUCCUGGUGUAGCGGUGGAAUGCGCAGAUAUCAGGAGGAACACCGGUGGCGAAGGCGGGUCUCUGGGCAGUAACUGACGCUGAGAAGCGAAAGCGUGGGGAGCGAACAGG
This 253-nucleotide ribosomal RNA is filed under the name uncultured bacterium. Its description in RNAcentral is "partial 16S ribosomal RNA". It matches the Rfam family "Bacterial small subunit ribosomal RNA", at positions 524 to 776 of the family's 1533-position model. The record is from RNAcentral.